AGAGUUUGAUCCUGGCUCAGAACGAACGCUGGCGGCGUGCCUAACACAUGCAAGUCGAACGAGAAAGGGGCUUCGGCUCCGAGUAAAGUGGCGCACGGGUGAGUAACACGUAGGUAACCUGCCUCCAAGAUUGGGAUAACCUGUCGAAAGACGAGCUAAUACCAAAUAAGACCACGGCUUCCUCGGAAGCAGGGGUCAAAGGUAGCCUCUACUUGUAAGCUAUCACUUAGAGAUGGGCCUGCGUACCAUUAGCUAGUUGGUGGGGUAACGGCCCACCAAGGCAAAGAUGGUUAGCUGGUCUGAGAGGAUGAUCAGCCACACUGGAACUGAGACACGGUCCAGACUCCUACGGGAGGCAGCAGUGGGGAAUAUUGCGCAAUGGGCGAAUGCCUGACGCAGCAACGCCGCGUGAGUGAUGAAGGCCUUCGGGUCGUAAAGCUAUGUCGGAGGGAACGAAUGCUCUUGAGGUUAACAGCCUCGGGAAGUGACGGACCCUCAAAAGAAGAACCGCA
Molecule: ribosomal RNA, 512 nt
Filed under: uncultured soil bacterium
Lineage: Bacteria
Description: bacterial SSU rRNA
Rfam family: Bacterial small subunit ribosomal RNA
Source: RNAcentral